GAUGAAGAACGUAGCGAAAUGCGAUACAUGGUGUGAAUUGCAGAAUCCCGUGAACCAUCGAGUCUUUGAACGCAAGUUGCGCCUCAAGCCAUUAGGUUGAGGGCACGUCUGCCUGGGCGUCACAUAUCGUUGCCUGAUGCCAGUUUCCUCGUGAUGGGUGACUGUGCAGGGCGAAUGAUGGCUUCCCGUGAGCAUUGUUGCCUCAUGGUUGGUUGAAAAUUGAGUCCUUGGUAGGGAGCGCCGUGAUAGAUGGUGGUUGAGUGACGAACGAGACCCAAUCAUGUGAGACCCCUACCGAAUUUGGCCUUCAUGACCCACAUGCGUCUUUGGAACGCUCAUGACGAGACCUCAGGUCAGGCGGGGCUACCCGCUGAGUUUAAGCAUAUCAAUAAGCGGAGGA
Molecule: unclassified non-coding RNA, 400 nt
Filed under: soil metagenome
Description: partial contains 5.8S ribosomal RNA, internal transcribed spacer 2, and large subunit ribosomal RNA
Rfam family: 5.8S ribosomal RNA (bases 1-122)
Source: RNAcentral